Molecule: transfer RNA, 61 nt
Filed under: Melipona scutellaris
Lineage: Eukaryota; Metazoa; Arthropoda; Insecta; Hymenoptera; Apidae
Also listed under: 1 other name
Description: tRNA-Ala
Source: RNAcentral
UGGAUUUUAGUUUAAAAAAAACAAUUAAUUUGCAAUUAAUAAAUAUUUAUAAUAAAUCUAA